GUCACGAUGACCUAAGUGGUUAGAACGUCCACCUCAAAUGCGGGAGGUCGCAGGUUCGAACCCUAUUCGAGUCAUACCAAAGACU
Non-coding RNA from Potamilus streckersoni, 85 nucleotides. The record is from the annotation of a GenBank genome assembly. Lineage: Eukaryota; Metazoa; Mollusca; Bivalvia; Unionida; Unionidae.